RNAcentral lists this small RNA (1858 nucleotides) under Pongo abelii (Sumatran orangutan). RNAcentral describes it as "sense overlapping". Lineage: Eukaryota; Metazoa; Chordata; Mammalia; Primates; Hominidae. The record is from RNAcentral.
GAUAUUUACGUUGAAUUGUGUGGAGUUGAAGCUGAAAAUCUUAAGGAAUGUAUCUAAAAUUCACUUUGCCUUUAAUUUAUGCAUCCGUCAGCUAGAGAUCACGCAGCGGGCACCCACGAUCGGCUUAAUCAUCGCUCACUUCCAUUGGAUCAACUGGAAAUCAAGUCAGAUGAGAGUGCUGAGUCUCAGAGGAUGGACAUCUCACCCCUUGCCAUACAGAGAAGUAGAAAGGGCGGUAUUCAAAAUUCAUGGCCAGACUCGGGUACUGUAUUUCCCGGUCUUCCAACUCUCAAAAGUUGUGGGUUUUUUUGGUUUUGGUUUUGGUUUUGGUUGUUUUGAGACAGAGUCUCAUUCUGUUGCCCAGGCUGGAGUGCAGUGGAGUGAUCUCGGCUCACUGCAACCUCCGCAUCCCAGGUUCAAGCUAUUCUCCUGUCUCAACCUGCCGAGUAGCUGAGAUGACAGGCGCCCGCGACUACGCCCGGCUCAUUUUUUUCUAUUUUGAGUAGAGACGGGGUUUCACCAUGUUGGCCAGGCUGGUCUCGAACUCCUGACCUUGUGAUUCACCUGCCUCAGCCUCCCAAAGGGCUGGGAUUACAGGCGUGAGCCACCGCACCCAGCUUCCAAAAGUUUUCAGCACAGCUCAGAGUUCUGAACCACAGGCACGUCGGAGGAGCAUUUUUGAAACCCUUUCCAGCUUCCUCAAUAGGAAUGGAAGCCAAACUCCGAAUCGAUGACUCCUUUGAGAAAGUCGAGAGCUGUAAGGAAAGCCAGGAACAGGGCAAAGGGAGAGAGGCGUCCCGAAUGAUCCUGUGCCAAUUCUUUCUGGAAUCCUUGAUGUGAUCUCAGCUGCCCUUUGUAUACUUGACACAGUGAUUGUGGCACCCACUGGUCUAGCUGUGGUCUCCAAGGAACCCCCAAAGGGAAGGGCACAGUGAGCAGGGGCACUCACCUGAGUGACAAGGAUUUGAGAGGGCAGGUUGGUUGCAGGGAGAGGACUGGCCAAAUGCCAUGUGUCUGGACUUAGACUGCCCGGUUCAAAUUGGACUUCACCCUUUUUGAUUUCAUAAUCUAGUACGAGUUCUAUGAAAAGGCGUUGCUCCUUUUCUAGUCUGUAAAGUCAUCAUGAAAUGUGCACUAAUAACGUGGAGACUACGCAGAUGAAAUGAAACUGCAUAGAGCAUAGAGCUCAGAGCCUGGCCUUCAGGAAGCCCUCAAUAACUGUUCAUGAUGCCAUGGUGUCUAUCAUCAUCCUCUUUAUCCUCAUCAUCACCUUCAUAAUCUUUUUGUUGUUCGUAGGGAAUCAUUUAGAGGGACUGAUUCCCGGCUAUCAUGGGUGAGAUGUCUAUGAAAAGGACAACCAGUGGGGGAGGAAAGCAAAAUUUUGAAUAAGAUUUCUGAGACGCCCCAGCACAACCAAGAACAGAAACUCCACAGUCUGCUGAGCGGACAGUUUGCACAUUGGUCUCCUCCCAUCUGCCCACUGCACUCUCCUGUUUGUCCUGAGGAGGAGGAAGGAAAACAAGGCUCCGGACCGUCCCUCAGCACUCACUGAACUGCCCUUCCUCUCUGCUGGGCCAUGACCACGGAGAGCAGGUCCAUGUCCUCCCUGGUGGUGCACAUGGAGGCUCAGACUCCGUCCUCGAGGCUGGCAAGAAGACAGGGUGAGACAUGAGCCUCCUGAUACAGGUGAUGGGUGUGGAGCCCACAGGACUGGACCCUCACACUGCAGGGCUGGAGGCACAGACAUAUUUACUGUUUUGUGGCCUGGGGGCUCAAGGCACAGAGCUCCCAUUAGCCAAGUCCCCAAGUUCCCCACCUCUAAGGAUUUCCUCAUAAUAAUUCAAGAAGGAAGAGAACA